AACGAACGCUGGCGGCAUGCCUAACACAUGCCAGUCGAACGAACCCUUCGGGGUGAGUGGCGCACGGGUGCGUAACGCGUGGGAACCUGCCUUUUGGUUCGGAAUAACAGUUAGAAAUGACUGCUAAUACCGGAUAAUGUCUUCGGACCAAAGAUUUAUCGCCAUUAGAUGGGCCCGCGUAGGAUUAGCUAGUUGGUGAG
RNAcentral lists this ribosomal RNA (200 nucleotides) under uncultured bacterium. RNAcentral describes it as "partial 16S ribosomal RNA". It matches the Rfam family "Bacterial small subunit ribosomal RNA", at positions 29 to 256 of the family's 1533-position model. The record is from RNAcentral.